Molecule: long non-coding RNA, 2582 nt
Organism: Brassica napus (rape)
Lineage: Eukaryota; Viridiplantae; Streptophyta; Magnoliopsida; Brassicales; Brassicaceae
Exons: 3
Source: RefSeq, a predicted model, not a curated record
AAACCAGCAAAUACAUUUUAAUCUCGGUAUGUUACUAUGAUCAAUAAUGCAAUGUUAUUGGCCGACAAAAACAAUGUUUUUGAAGCGAAAAAAAAAGUAACUUCACAGAGACAAGUCUUGAAAUUGUAGCAAGGAAGAUGUGGAGCCAACCACACGUGAUAUUCGCGUGACUGCAUGCUUAUUGUUCGGCAUAAUCCAGACAACCUUUGUUUAUUUUGUCUCCUGACUAAUACUGAUGUGAUUAAUUUUCUUAUUGAUGUUUUGUUGCAAAAUUAUUACUGACUAAUGUAACUGUGAACUUGAACAUAAUUUUAGUAUCAUUAUGCAGUAUCUUUUCCUUGGAUUAAUCAAAGAUUAUGUCCGUAAUUAAAAACACUGCAGGUUCAACGCAUCAAGUACUAGUUUCGUUUCUGUACUGUAAUAGUACAAGUUUGGUUUACGAACCAUGAUUAUAGACUUUAUAGUAGGGUGAUUAGUUUCUGUUUUAUGAAGCAUCCGAUAUCUUGGAAUUAGUGAUUUUAUUUUGGGCCCCUCGUGUAUAUUGAUACCAACCUUGUUAUAUAUUCCUCUCUUAUUAUUAACUACUCCCUCCGUUUCAUAAUACAUGAUGUUAUUCCUUAUUGCACAAAGAUUAAGAAAUUUAAUUUUCUCUAAAAAGUGGUUUAAAAACUAUAAUUUAAAAAUCAUCCAACCAAUUACAGAAAUGACUACAACAUCUAAUUUGCUACACAGUUUUCAAUAAAGUUAAAAAUAAUAUAAAAAUAUCAAAACAUCAUCUAUUUUGAAACAACAAAAAUCUUCUAAAACAUCAUCUAUUAUGAAACGGAGUGAGUAUAGGACUUGGUAUGUGAUAAAUGUUUACAUUAAUAUGAACAAUUAUAGAGAAACAGAAACGUUGAUUUAGAAUUUGUUCAUACAUAAUACUUCGAAGAUGUUUAUAUAUUUCAUGGGCCUAUAGAAAACUAAUAUACAUCAAUGUUUCGAUUAGCUACACAUACUGAGAAAUUAUUCAGAAAUUAGUAACAGUCAAAAUCUAAUCCCACAAAACUAACUCCUAGUCCAUUAAUUGGCACAUUGUUUGUUAUGCGAUCAAAACUACUAAUAAUAAAAUUCUAACCACAUCUCAUAAUUAUGAGAUCAAAAUCUUUUAUAUAUAAAGAAGACCUUGAAUCACUCCCAUCCUAUCCACGUCAGCGUCCACAUCAUCAAUUCGGUUCAUGACGUCUCGCCACGUGUCCAUGACCCUCAACACACACCGUAUCAAUAACUUGAUGACAUCUUGGGCUUUGCUCGCAUGCAUGUUGAGUGAUCUGGUGAAUUGUCCGACCCAAAAUAAAAAGAAGGCGAUGUCUCUCAAAACCUAAUACGGCUUUGGAGAAAACACGCAGAUCGACUUUCUCUUCGUGCGGCCGGAGACGAUGACGUUUGAGCUCCAUCUCAUGCCUGAAACUGUCCAUUUAUUGCUUCAUUUUCAAUCGCAUUAAUUCUCUCAUCCAUGAUGUGUCUUUGAAGCGCUGAUUAGAUCUCAGAGGCGGUGUGUGUUCAAAAUAAAUAUGUGUGAGAUUUUUUCCUUGAACUCAUCCUCUCUUCGCAAUUCUUAUAUUUCCACACAUAGAUUUCGAUAUGGCUAAUUCGAGGGGAUUUUCUCUGAUUUGAAGUCCGGUAAGUGUUCGUCCGUCGUCGAGGCUCGGCUCCUGCUUACACCGUUCAGACUUACAAGCAACAAGCAUAAACUACUUACGCAUCACCUUUAGAUACGUCAGCUUCGUAUGUUCUUUUCGCUAACAUGAAACAGGACGUUACUCAAACUCAAACACAGCGGAGGGCAUCAUUUAAUGGUACUGGUCUAGCAGCAAUGUUGUGUUCUUGGAUGCUUUAGAAAUUCAGAUCUAUUGGUGUUUGAUUUUAACAGGGAAAUCGAGAAAAUGUAGAAAUUCAGAUCGCAGAUUACAUAUACCAUGCUUUUGAUCAGAGAGUUAGAGAAUUAUCUAGCCACCCAUAUUUUCUGAGAUACUCUGCUCCAAUCUCAAAGAGGAAGAAGAAGAAGAAAAAGAAGAAGAUGAAAAGAGUAAAAGGAAGAAGAGGAAACACGAGUCUGAUCGGAAAAUAGUCCAAUCUCAAAAUCGUUAAAGGCUUUUUGUGAAAGUUCCAAAAAUGGUAAAUCAACAGCUUUAUUUCUCUUAGUUCAAGGCUGGUUGGUGGAGAACCGGGAAGGUCAAGAAAGAUGGAGAGCUGAUGAGAGUUGAUCUUCUAUUGGUUGAUGGAAAAGUAAGGACUAAGGAGGAUUACUUGCUGAUUUUUUCUUUACAAUAUCUGAAAUUAUUUUUAGAGAUAUUUUUGGAACCAUUGCCUAAAGAUCGUUUUGUUUGUUUUGGUGGGAGUUGAUUUGUUACUACAGUGAACAUUGGGUGGUUUUCUUAUACAAAGCGAUGGUGUUUUAGGCUUUGAGGAAUGUUUAUCUGAUUUACAUAAAUGAAUUAGUCUGAGAGCAAAUUUCAGAUCGCCCAGCGCAUAGACAUCUUCACCGAAGAACAUACAUAGUGGGUCACAAAGUUGAAUGGCAUAACCACAAAUUCUCUGUU